Molecule: long non-coding RNA, 2992 nt
Organism: Apis dorsata (giant honeybee)
Lineage: Eukaryota; Metazoa; Arthropoda; Insecta; Hymenoptera; Apidae
Exons: 3
Source: RefSeq, a predicted model, not a curated record
GAAAAGUGCUACGUCAGUUUCUUUUUCUUUACAAUUUUUUUUUCUUUUCGAAAACUGUGUCCAGUCUGUGUUUGCCUAUCUCUAACGUUCUUGUAUGGCCAGCCAAGAGAGCGUUAUGUGAUCACGACACCACAGUACGAGGUGGUUGUGUGUCAUUCGCUGUGAAAAUUUCAAACUUUGUUUCGGUUCUUGAGUUCGGUGUUCAUACGCGAAAGGACUUUUCUCGUUUUUUGCGACGUUUUUCAGCCAUCAAAUAAUUUUGUGUCUCGAUCGUGCUAAUACAAGUGUUUCAGUGUGUGGAUUUUUUUAGCGUCAAUGGAUACCUGGAAUAUAUGAUUAUAUGUAUCACUUCGAAGUACCGAAGAGAAUGUUCCAUUUUGAAACAACAAACGCAAUUUGCUUGAAAAUAAAUUAAUCUCUUAUAACGCCUUGAAAGGCUGGCUCGCAUGAACGAUAGAAAAGGCAAUGAAUCUUGUGGAGACAUUUUUAUGAUCUUCUUGUACCAUCGAAUUGGUCAUCGUAUGAUAUAAUUCGAAUAUUGCAUGGAUUAAAUAAACUCGUAUCUCAGAAUUCUAAACACAUCCGUCGGUUAAGAAUCGCUGAAUCUUUUAAGUAUUUGUUCAAGUUCGUUCGAAAGUGCUAAAAAAAAAUCAUAAACAAAAGCUCGUUUAUUCUUUUUCAUCUAUCGAUCUUGGAAGUUAGGGCAAAAGAGUGUCAUGGAUUUUUCAUAUCAUGUUCCAUCGUCUCUUUCGAUAAGCGAAUUUUUAGGAAACGAUAACCACGAUCUGAAAGUUGGCGAAUUUUUACAUCAUCGACGGUGUUUUCAGUACCGCGUAGAAAAUGAUAUAGCGUCGUAUCAACGUCGUGCCGAAGUGUCAGAUUUGACGCGUGGUAACCUCGUGUUCAGUAGUUUGAAUUCGAAGCGAUCCCGCGUUUCCUUGGGCUUGGGGACGAGGGGCAAAGGGAGGGAGAGGGUAGAGGCGGCAGCAGCAGCAAGAGGUGGAGGAGGUAGGACGGCGGCCGCGGCUGGGUGGCGUUGUUGGAGUGGCGAGGAGAUGGUCGAGGUGGCUGUGGUAACGAAGGUGGGUCGUGGGUCGCUGGUUGGAGGGGGGGAACAUAACGAACGAGAGAGAAGAAACGAGAUAGAGGAAGAAGAAGCGAUAGAGAAAGAAUAAGAACACGAAAGAGAGAGAUGAGAAUAUAUGUACGAUAUGAAAGACGAGGAAAGAAUUCUCGAUAAAGAGAGAACGAGAUAGAGAAAGGUGACCGGAGGCUCCGAGGCUGCUUCUUCUUUACUUGGCCAACGCUGUAGAGGAAACCUAGCAUCGCCUGUGCGCCAUGAGGAGAAGGGUACGAUGUUCACUAAGUGAUGAGGAGGGGGCAUAGUUAUGACCAACCAUCAAGGGGGCAACGUCGUCAUGGUUACCACGACGACAACAACCCGAUUCUGUUCUAAGGGAUGUUUUUAAAAGCAUAUAUUUGCCUUUGCUCUUUUUUUUCUCGCCGAUUGCGUGGAGGCGAUAGGAACGACUUUUUUUCUAUUUUCCAUUCGCUGAAUGAUGGCCCCAUUUUAUUAGAUCAACCAGUUGCAAUCGUGCUUUGUGACUAUAUACAUUACGUGUUUAAUGAAAUAGAAAUUUAAAGAAUACAUAUAAUUAUAAUUAAUUGUGUAAAACUUAUACUUUAAUCUUUUCAUCGGUAUAAAUUAUAAUUAGAAAUAUAACAAUAUAUAUAUAUAUAGUUAUACAAUAUAUAUCUCAGUGGUAAACUCGUUUAUUCUUCAGAUUAUGAAUAUGUUCAAAAUGUUUUAUACCAGUGAAAUGUAUGAUAGGUGUUGUAUUUCGAGAAAUAGUAGCAUUCGCAUGAUGAUUGUAUCCGACGGUGACAGAACCAAUCGAAUCUGUGACUCGAAUAUUUCCAUCCACCAUUAUUCCAUAAUCGUUUUACGAAAUAUUGUUAUAAAAGAAAGUGCGUUGCAAGAGGACGUUUUGGAUACAAGUGUACGAUUAGACAUCUUGGCGAAGUUUUUUCGUAAAUUUAUUUUUUUCAUAUCUAAAGAAUAACUUCUUUAUCUUGUACUUAAGAUACUUCUUCAAGAUACUUCUAUCAAGUUUCGAUAAUGAAUUUAUUAUGAGAAAAUAUAAGAAUAUCUCAUAAUAUACUAUAAUUUAAUUAUUUUUUAUAUUAUUCACUGAUGUUUCAUGAUUUACAACAUAUAGAAUCAAGAGUAGUUCGAAUGUAUCCGACGGAUAGUAUUACGCGACAGCAUUGCCAACCAAUUGAAUCGAAAUGAUGAUUUUACAUAUCUAAUUUUUUUAUAUUUUCACAACGUUAUAUAUACAUAUAUAAACAAAAGAAACAGACUUUACAUUUGACACAAAUCAAUUCAACUAUGAUUGGUCUGUGAUAAUGAUUCGUAAUAUACAUGAGAAUAAUUAGUUAUGAAAAUGUUUAUGAAAAUCUAUCAUCUUCAUUUAUAGUUUUUAUGAAAUUAAAUAUUAUAAUUUAAAAAUUCAAAAAAUUGUAUUAUAAAUAUUUCAUAGUAGUAUAUCUGUGGAUAUUAAGAAAGUCUAUAAUUAUAAAUUUAUAUGCAUUUUGGUAAUUUUAACUAUAUUAGUGUAAUAAAAUAAUAUUGGAUGGCGAAACGAGGAUUGUAUCCCGUGUAUUCAUCGUCAUUUUCAAUAUCUCAUAAUCUCCUUAAUAUAGUUGCACUUUGCUCGACACCGAGCUAGGAAUAGCCGAGGCAGGAUACGGGAACAGUUACGACCCGGGCCGGUAUUGCUCGAGGCGAUCGUGCAAGGACAGUACCGCUACAGGCGAAUAUCUUCCAUUGCCAUUCUUUCUUUUUUCGCGGGAAUUUAUCGCGUGAAAAAUCUAUCUUUACCAAAAUAAUCUAACAAAAAAGUGUUGACAUAAAAAUGUAUCAUUAAAUAAAUUAUUAAAAUACACUAUUAAAUGCUUAAAGAAUAAGAGUGUAUAUAUACUUGAGGCA